This 1259-nucleotide ribosomal RNA is filed under the name Microbacterium sp. RNAcentral describes it as "bacterial SSU rRNA". It matches the Rfam family "Bacterial small subunit ribosomal RNA", at positions 168 to 1441 of the family's 1533-position model. The record is from RNAcentral. Lineage: Bacteria; Bacillati; Actinomycetota; Actinomycetes; Micrococcales; Microbacteriaceae.
ACUGGAUAUGAGCUCCUGCCGCAUGGUGGGGGUUGGAAAGAUUUUUUGGUUGGGGAUGGGCUCGCGGCCUAUCAGCUUGUUGGUGAGGUAAUGGCUCACCAAGGCGUCGACGGGUAGCCGGCCUGAGAGGGUGACCGGCCACACUGGGACUGAGACACGGCCCAGACUCCUACGGGAGGCAGCAGUGGGGAAUAUUGCACAAUGGGCGGAAGCCUGAUGCAGCAACGCCGCGUGAGGGAUGACGGCCUUCGGGUUGUAAACCUCUUUUAGCAGGGAAGAAGCGAAAGUGACGGUACCUGCAGAAAAAGCACCGGCUAACUACGUGCCAGCAGCCGCGGUAAUACGUAGGGUGCAAGCGUUAUCCGGAAUUAUUGGGCGUAAAGAGCUCGUAGGCGGUCUGUCGCGUCUGCUGUGAAAUCCCGAGGCUCAACCUCGGGCCUGCAGUGGGUACGGGCAGACUAGAGUGCGGUAGGGGAGAUUGGAAUUCCUGGUGUAGCGGUGGAAUGCGCAGAUAUCAGGAGGAACACCGAUGGCGAAGGCAGAUCUCUGGGCCGUAACUGACGCUGAGGAGCGAAAGGGUGGGGAGCAAACAGGCUUAGAUACCCUGGUAGUCCACCCCGUAAACGUUGGGAACUAGUUGUGGGGUCCAUUCCACGGAUUCCGUGACGAAGCUAACGCAUUAAGUUCCCCGCCUGGGGAGUACGGCCGCAAGGCUAAAACUCAAAGGAAUUGACGGGGACCCGCACAAGCGGCGGAGCAUGCGGAUUAAUUCGAUGCAACGCGAAGAACCUUACCAAGGCUUGACAUAUACCGGAAACGGCCAGAGAUGGUCGCCCCGCAAGGUCGGUAUACAGGUGGUGCAUGGUUGUCGUCAGCUCGUGUCGUGAGAUGUUGGGUUAAGUCCCGCAACGAGCGCAACCCUCGUUCUAUGUUGCCAGCACGUAAUGGUGGGAACUCAUGGGAUACUGCCGGGGUCAACUCGGAGGAAGGUGGGGAUGACGUCAAAUCAUCAUGCCCCUUAUGUCUUGGGCUUCACGCAUGCUACAAUGGCCGGUACAAAGGGCUGCGAUACCGUAAGGUGGAGCGAAUCCCAAAAAGCCGGUCCCAGUUCGGAUUGAGGUCUGCAACUCGACCUCAUGAAGUCGGAGUCGCUAGUAAUCGCAGAUCAGCAACGCUGCGGUGAAUACGUUCCCGGGUCUUGUACACACCGCCCGUCAAGUCAUGAAAGUCGGUAACACCUGAAGCCGGUGGCCUAACCC